UUUUAAAUGGCCGCAGUAUUUUGACUGUGCAAAGGUAGCAUAAUCAUUAGUUUUUUAAUUAAAAGCUUGUAUGAAAGGCUGGACGAGGUAAAAUCUGUCUCUAUUUAAAUUAUUAUAGAAUUUAACUUUUAAGUUAAAAGGCUUAAAUAUUAUUAAAAGACGAGAAGACCCUAUAGAUCUUUAUAGUUUAUUAAAUUAAAUUAAUUUAGAAAUAUUAAUGUUUUAUUUAAUUAAAUUAUUUUAUUGGGGUAAUAAAAAGAUUGAAUUAAUUCUUUUUUAUAAUAAACAUUAAUUUAUGAAUAUUAAUGAUCCAGUUUUACUGAUUAUAAGAUUAAGUUACCUUAGGGAUAACAGCGUAAUUUUUUUAGAGAGUUCAUAUCAAUAAAAAAGUUUGCGACCUCGAUGUUGGAUUAAAGAUUAUUUUAGGUGUAGAAGCUUAAUAAUUUUGGUCUGUUCGACCAUUAAAUCUUUACAUGAUCUGAGUUCAGACCGGCGUAAGCCAGGUCGGUUUCUAUCUUUAAUAAAAUAAAAUAUUUUAGUACGAAAGGACCAAAUAUUUGAUAUAUUUAUAUUUAAUUUAUUGAAUAUUA
Molecule: ribosomal RNA, 590 nt
Filed under: Carabus lusitanicus latus
Lineage: Eukaryota; Metazoa; Arthropoda; Insecta; Coleoptera; Carabidae
Description: partial large subunit ribosomal RNA
Rfam family: Bacterial large subunit ribosomal RNA
Source: RNAcentral